UAGUGGCGACGGGUGAGUAACACGUGGGCAAUCUGCCCUUCACUCUGGGACAAGCCCUGGAAACGGGGUCUAAUACCGGAUAAUACUUUCUCUCUCAUGGGGGAAGGUUAAAAGCUCCGGCGGUGAAGGAUGAGCCCGCGGCCUAUCAGCUAGUUGGUGGGGUAAUGGCCUACCAAGGCGACGACGGGUAGCCGGCCUGAGAGGGCGACCGGCCACACUGGGACUGAGACACGGCCCAGACUCCUACGGGAGGCAGCAGUGGGGAAUAUUGCACAAUGGGCGAAAGCCUGAUGCAGCGACGCCGCGUGAGGGAUGACGGCCUUCGGGUUGUAAACCUCUUUCAGCAGGGAAGAAGCGAAAGUGACGGUACCUGCAGAAGAAGCGCCGGCUAACUACGUGCCAGCAGCCGCGGUAAUACGUAGGGCGCAAGCGUUGUCCGGAAUUAUUGGGCGUAAAGAGCUCGUAGGCGGCUUGUUGCGUCGGUUGUGAAAGCCCGGGGCUUAACCCCGGGUCUGCAGUCGAUACGGGCAGGCUAGAGUGUGGUAGGGGAGAUCGGAAUUCCUGGUGUAGCGGUGAAAUGCGCAGAUAUCAGGAGGAACACCGGUGGCGAAGGCGGAUCUCUGGGCCAUUACUGACGCUGAGGAGCGAAAGCGUGGGGAGCGAACAGGAUUAGAUACCCUGGUAGUCCACGCCGUAAACGUUGGGAACUAGGUGUUGGCGACAUUCCACGUCGUCGGUGCCGCAGCUAACGCAUUAAGUUCCCCGCCUGGGGAGUACGGCCGCAAGGCUAAAACUCAAAGGAAUUGACG
This 809-nucleotide ribosomal RNA is filed under the name Streptomyces sp. RNAcentral's name for it is "bacterial SSU rRNA". It matches the Rfam family "Bacterial small subunit ribosomal RNA", at positions 93 to 915 of the family's 1533-position model. Lineage: Bacteria; Bacillati; Actinomycetota; Actinomycetes; Kitasatosporales; Streptomycetaceae. The record is from RNAcentral.